GGUGUGUUGGCUCAGUCAGUAGAGCGUCCACCUCACAACCGGGAGGUCGUGGGUUCGAACCCCGGCCGCGUCA
Strongylocentrotus purpuratus (purple sea urchin) is the source of this 73-nucleotide non-coding RNA. The record is from Rfam. NCBI's taxonomy places the organism in Eukaryota, Metazoa, Echinodermata, Echinoidea, Camarodonta, Strongylocentrotidae.